UCCUCCCCCUCCUCCCGGCCCCGCCCCGCCUCGCCCCGCCCCCUCCUGUGCCCGCCGCAUCCCGCCGCGGCCUGGGGAGAGGGCCUAGCAGGGCAGAUGUGCGACACCUCGUCUUGGAGUGACUACAUGGUGGCCAAAAGCAAAGGGGAGGAAAGAGGCCGGCCUUGGGCAGGAGGCAGGGGCGAGGUGUAGGGCACGUGCGCCCCCUGAGCCACCCCCUGCAAAACGGCGCCACCUCGCUGCGGUCCACAGUGCCCACGGCAGGUGGUCGCCGACCCAAGUGCUCAGCACCCACUGCCAACACCGUCGUGGCCGUCGGCAGGAGCUCACCACCGCCAUGCCCCUGCCGCUGACAUGGCCGCCUACAGGAGCUUGCCAGGCCCUUCUUUGCUCUGAAGGGUACAGGUUCCCCUCACUUUAUGCUGUACGUGUGGUCCUCGAAAACGGCCUGUGAGAGAGGAAGAAAGAGAGACAUUCCUUGAACCCUUCUUGCUACGCUUUGGUUCACCUUUUUCUGACCUGUAAGUGAGCGGACUUGGAAGAUGACACGAGACCUGCAUCAGAGAGGUCAACUUGUGGCUUCGGGAAUGGUGUCUCGAGGCAUGCUUCGGCUUCCUAGACAACGACCCACAUAUCAGGACGAGAGACAUGCUUGGGUGGGAUGGGCUUUGUCAUGACCCAAUGAUUGUGUGUGCGCUUCGGCACUGCAGAAUUAUUUCCCGCCACAUGGAACUUUCUUUGCACGGUGCAAUUCUCAGCUGCAGAGAGAAAACCCCGGUGCAAAAAGUUCCCACCAGGCGUAUGCAAAUUUGUGCCCCCUAUUGGCUGUUUCUAAAUUAUUCCCACAUGGCAGCUAGCGAUUGGCUUGCUAGCCAUAUAAGAGGCUUGAGCAGUUUCCGCCCAAGCCAGAGAUCUCCGAGAAUCUUGGGAGGACCCCAAGAUCCCCGAUUCCGAGAAUUCCGGGAGAAAUCCGAGAGAAUUCCAUGAUUACUUCGUGGACUUCUACGUAAAUUUCGGACCGACUGGUGGUCUGAUCAGUUACCAAGAAUCUCUCCCCGUCACCAAACGAUCCCGACGUAUCCCUACCCUGCACGCUCGUCGAGAGUCAUAUUUCGGACUCUCAUUUUGUUAUCCAGAGCUCUAGCAAACUCCGUGCGUGUGCGUCUUCGGUGGAGCCUAGCAAACUCCAUGUGUGUUUGUCUGUAAUUGCAACGCAAGCAAGUCUUUCUGCCUGCACCACGACCACCUACGGUGUAAGUAAAGUUUUCUUUGUUCAACCGCUACGAGUCCGUGCCUAAUUCUAGUCUGUUGUGCUGAAUUUCCCUGCCCACAUGCCCGGGCUGCUGGCCACAGCCCCUCGGCCCCGACAGGCUUCACCUUUCCCCCAAAGGUACGCGUUGGUUCUUUUCUAGGUUGGCUGAUCUCCUCUGGCAGGCUUUAAACUAGGCUCGUCGGGGGAAGGGGAAGACGAGGGCAGAGGAAGCCUUGGACCACUAAACCAAGCAUCACCCACAAGAACAGCUCAGCCUAGACCAAUGAUGAGCAGAACAAAUACCCAGCAGGUGCACAGCCCCACCAGGGGAGACGCCUUGUUGGAUCUGGUCCUGGCCAUGGGCGAUGACCUGGUGAGGGGUCUGCGGGUGCUCAACCACCUGGGCGACAGUGAUCAUUGCCUGCUGGAAUUCACCGUCCAGCGCAAGGUAGAAAAGGCCUGCAGCAAGGCAGCAGCUCUGGACUUCAGGAGGGCAGAUUUCACUAAGGUAAGGAGAAUAGUCGGGGAGGCACUGAGGUCCUGGAGGGGAGAGGAGUCGGGUGUCCAAGAAGAGUGGUCGUUCCUUAAGGAGAUGAUCCUCCAAGCCCAAAGGGAGGUAAUCCCAGCAUGGAUCAAAGCGGGCAAGAGGGCGCAAAAGCCCCUAUAGCUCACCAAAAGCAUACGGGAAUGUCUCCUAUCUAAAAAGGAGGCAUACACCCAAUGGAAGGGAGGGGCCAUCACCAGGGAGGACUAUACCUCGGUUGCUCAGGGCUGUAGGAGGGCAGUCAGGAAGGCCAAGGCGGAGAUGAAACUGGGACUAGCUACCCGGAUCAAGUACAACAAGAAGUCCUUUUUUAAAUACAUAGUGGGUAAAAAAAAGGUACCGGGUAACGUGGGGCCUCUGCAGGACACACUAGGAAAUCUGGUCGUCGCACCAGGCAGCAAAGCUAACCUAUUUAACAAUCUCUUUGCCUCCAUUUUUCUGAGCAGGGACCGGGUCACCCCCACCCCCACCGGAACCCCCAUAGGACACAGGGGAGGCACACCCAGGCCUAGAGUUGGUGAACUGGAGGGACUGGAUGUAUUUAAAUCAUCAGGUCCUGACGAUCUCCACCCCAGAGUGCUGAGGGAAUUAGCAGAGGUCAUUGUGGGACCCCUGGCAGAGCUUUACGAGCACUCGUGGUGCCAGAGGACUGGAAAAGGGCCAGUGUGCUUCCCAUUUUCAAAAAAGGGAGGAAGGAUGACUCAGGAAACUAUAGGCCAGUCAGUCUUACCUCGAUCCUGGGUAAGUUUUUUGAGAGAAUUAUCCUGUGAGGGGCCAGCAGGGGAGAUUAAACUUAGGGGCAAUCAACAUGGGUUCAUUAGAGGCAGGUCCUGUCAGACCAGCCUGGUGGCCUUCUACAACCAGGUCACAAAAUCCUUAGAUGCAGGUGAAGCAGUGGAUGUAGUCUUUCUGGACUUUAAGAAGGCCUUCGACACUGUCUCUCACCCCAUUCUCAUUAAAAAACUAGGAGACUGUGGCAUCAACACCUACACAGUCAAAUGGGUCACUAGUUGGCUGGAGGGCCGCACCCAGAGAGUGGUGGUGGACGGGUCUUAUUCGACCUGGAGGGAUGUGGGCAGUGGUAGGUCCAGGGCUCGGUCCUCGGGCCCAUGCUGUUCAACAUCUUCAUCAGCGACUUGGACGAGGGUGUAAAAAGCUCCCUGUUCAAAUUUGCAGACAACAAUAAGAUGUGGGGAGAAGUGGGCAAGCUAGAAGGGAGGAAUAGGCUGCAAUCCGACCUAGACAGAUUACAGGGGUGGGCGGAUGAGAACAGGAUGGGUUUCAACACUGACAAGUGCAAGGUACUGCACCUGGGGAGGAAGAACCAGCAGCAGACCUACAUGCUGGGGAACUCCCUUCUCGUUAGUGCAGAGGCAGAAAAGGAUCUUGGAGUCAUUAUUGACACCAAAAUGAACGUGGGCCGAAAGUGUGGGGAUGCGGUCAGGAAGGCCAACCGUGCCUUAUCAUGCAUCCACAGAUGCAUCUCAUGCAGGUCCAAGGAGGUGAUCCUCCCCCUCUGUGACAUUGGUCAGGCUGCAGUUGGAGUACUGCGUCCAGUUCUGGGCGUCGCACUUCAGGAGGGAUGUGGACAGCAUGGAGAGGGUCCAGAGGAGGGCCACCCGCAUGAUCAGGGGGCAGCAGGGCAGGCCCUACGAGGAGAGGCUAUGGGACCCGAACCUGUUCAGCCUUCACAAGAGAAGGCUGAAGGGGGAUCUAGUGGCUGUUUACAAACUGGUCAGGGGGCACCAGCAGCCAUUAGGAGAGUCCCUGUUCCCCCAAACACUACCAGGAGUGACAAGAAAUAACGGCACAAGCUGGCAGAGAGUAGAUUCAGGCUAGAUAUCAGGAAAGCACUACUUCACAGUUAGGGCGGCUAGGAUCUGGAACCAACUUCCAAGAGAAGUGGUGCUGGCUCCUACCCUGGGGGUCUUUAAGAGGAGGCUGGAUGUACACCUUGCCAAGGUCAUCUGACCCCAGUACUCUUUCCUGCCACGGCAGGGGGGUUGGACUUGAUAAUCUGCUCAGGUCCUUUCUGCCCCUACCAACUAUGAAACUAUAAGAUGACAUAAAUGUCAAAAACGUUGUAAAAAAUACAAUUGAGAAGUAAAUAAUAUAAAAUAAGAGAUCAGUAGGGAAAAAGUGAGGUGGUAACAGAUUAUUAUUUACUGAGUUCCAUUCAACUGUAUUGCUUUCCAUAUUUAUGUGUAGCUUGCCUUUUGUAUGGGGCUGAACUAAGCUGCCAAAUUCAAAUACAGGCAGUCCUUGACUUACAACGUUUCGAGUUACAACAUUUAUAACUUGAUACCCUGUUUCAACUUUCUGAUGUCAGUUUUGCAACGCUUGAUCUGAUGCGACACCACACCAGAAAACAAGUUCACUGAGUUGCCCAUGUCCCUGGAGAACAUCUGUCCAAACUUGCUUGGACAUUUCUUUAAGAAAGCAGACAAGACUCCAGAAAAACCUGCAGCCAAGGCUCCUGAGAAGACACCAGUCAAGAGCCCUUCAAAAAGUCCAAACAAGAGCCCUUCAAAAUGUCCAGUAAAGUUACCUCAAAGUCCUUCUAAAUCAAUAUGAUUGCUAUUUACAAUAUAAAUGCAUUAAUGUAGCUAUAUUAUUCAUCUAUAAUUGAUUGAGUACAAAAUUCUGGGUUAUUUUUGGUGAAAAUAGGGUAUUGGGCCCAAAUAGGGUUCAGGACCCAAUCCCCAUUUAUAAUAUUGUUUCCUAUGGGAAAAACGGUUCCAAGUUAAGACACGGUUUUCAGGAACCAGUUGUGUCAUAAGUCUGAGGACUGCCUGUACAACCUAAUUUUAGGAUAGUCACAACUGAAUUUGUAGGUACUGUGUCUCCAGCUACACUGCCCUGCCUUUCUAGAAGCAGAGCAAUGCAGUCUAGGGCUGUUCAAACAUGACACUAUCUGAAGAGCUGUCCGAAGCGUUGUCAGUUCACACUUUCAGAUUGGAAAAGGCUCUGAGAGAAACUCAACUGAAAACACUACACCUUGCCAUGUUUAGGAACAAAAUGUCCGUGGUGACUGUGUUUCAUGUGAUUUCCAGUCUCUCUUGUUAAUUUUGGUCUUUUUCAUUAGUUUUUAUUUCUCUGAAUUUUUGCAUUGCCUGAUUCAGACUCAUGUGAAAGCCUUUUUCCCCCAAAAUUUCCAGUAUAGUUUUCAAAUUCCAAGAAGUAUAAGAAACCUACCAAAUUUGAGACAAGGGAGGGAGGUUCCUGCACUUGAAUCUCACCCUUAUGACUUAGAAACCAAGCUUUUUAUUUAUUUUUAAAUACUUUACAACAUGAAAUUUACCUUGCCAAUAAUAUAUACUAUAUUCCUCAUCCAAAAA
Molecule: long non-coding RNA, 5134 nt
Organism: Alligator mississippiensis (American alligator)
Lineage: Eukaryota; Metazoa; Chordata; Crocodylia; Alligatoridae
Exons: 5
Source: RefSeq, a predicted model, not a curated record